UGACUAAGCCAUGCGAGUCGAGAGGGUUCGGCCCUCGGCGUACUGCUCAGUAACACGUGGAUAACCUGACCUAAGGWAGGGGAUAACUCCGGGAAACUGGGGAUAAUACCCUAUAGGUUACGGGUGCUGGAAUGCCCUGUAACCGAAAGUUCCGACGCCUUAGGAUGGAUCUGCGGCCGAUUAGGUUGUUGUCGGGGUAAUGGCCCAACAAGCCAGUGAUCGGUACGGGUUGUGGGAGCAAGAGCCCGGAGUUGGAUUCUGAGACACGAAUCCAGGCCCUACGGGGCGCAGCAGGCGCGAAAACUUUACAAUGCGGGCAACCGUGAUAAGGGAACCUCGAGUGCCUGUAUAUGCAGGCUGUCCAGGUGUCUAAAACACACCUGAAGAAAGGGCCGGGCAAGACCGGUGCCAGCCGCCGCGGUAAUACCGGCGGCUCGAGUGGUGGCCACUUUUAUUGGGCUUAAAGCGUUCGUAGCUGGGUUGUUAAGUCUCUUGGGAAAUCCGGCAGCUUAACUGUCGGGCGUCUAAGGGAUACUGGUAAUCUUGGAACCGGGAGAGGUGAGGGGUACUUCGGGGGUAGGAGUGAAAUCCUGUAAUCCUCGAGGGACCACCUGUGGCGAAGGCGCCUCACCAGAACGGCUUCGACAGUGAGGGACGAAAGCUGGGGGAGCAAACCGGAUUAGAUACCCGGGUAGUCCCAGCCGUAAACGAUGCGCGUUAGGUGUAUCGGUGACCACGAGUCACCGAGGUGCCGAAGGGAAACCGUGAAACGUGCCGCCUGGGAAGUACGGUCGCAAGGCUGAAACUUAAAGGAAUUGGCGGGGGAGCA
RNAcentral lists this ribosomal RNA (829 nucleotides) under uncultured archaeon. RNAcentral describes it as "bacterial SSU rRNA". It matches the Rfam family "Archaeal small subunit ribosomal RNA", at positions 41 to 878 of the family's 1478-position model. The record is from RNAcentral.